UACGGGGGGGGCAAGCGUUGUUCGGAAUUACUGGGCGUAAAGGGCUCGUAGGUGGCCAACUAAGUCAGACGUGUAAUCCCUCAGCUUAACUGGGGAACUGCGUCUGAUACUGGAUGGCUUGAGUUUGGGAGAGGGAUGCGGAAUUCCAGGUGUAGCGGUGAAAUGCGUAGAUAUCUGGAGGAACACCGGUGGCGAAGGCGGCAUCCUGGACCAACACUGACACUGAGGAGCGAAAGCCAGGGGAGCAAACGGG
Molecule: ribosomal RNA, 253 nt
Filed under: uncultured bacterium
Lineage: Bacteria
Description: partial 16S ribosomal RNA
Rfam family: Bacterial small subunit ribosomal RNA
Source: RNAcentral